CAGUCGCCGCGGGAAUACGAAGGGUGCAAGCGUUAAUCGGAAUUACUGGGCGUAAAGCGUGCGUAGGUGGUGGUUUAAGUCCGUUGUGAAAGCCCUGGGCUCAACCUGGGAAUUGCAGUGGAUACUGGGUCACUAGAGUGUGGUAGAGGAUAGUGGAAUUUCCGGUGUAGCAGUGAAAUGCGUAGAGAUCGGAAGGAACAUCUGUGGCGAAGGCGACUAUCUGGGCCAACACUGACACUGAGGCACGAAAGCGUGGGGAGCAAACAGGAUUAGAUACCCCAGUAGUCCCUGUCUCUUAUAC
Molecule: ribosomal RNA, 301 nt
Filed under: uncultured bacterium
Lineage: Bacteria
Description: partial 16S ribosomal RNA
Rfam family: Bacterial small subunit ribosomal RNA
Source: RNAcentral